AGAGCGAACGCUGGCGGCAGGCCUAACACAUGCAAGUCGAGCGCCCCGCAAGGGGAGCGGCAGACGGGAGAGUAACACGUGGGAACGUACCCUUUGGUUCGGAACAACACAGGGAAACUUGUGCUAAUACCGGAUAAGCCCUUACGGGGAAAGAUUUAUUGCCAAAGGAUCGGCCCGCGUCUGAUUAGCUUGUUGGUGAGGUAACGGCUCACCAAGGCUACGAUCAGUAGCUGGUCUGAGAGGAUGAUCAGCCUCACUGGGACUGAGACACGGCCCAGACUCCUACGGGAGGCAGCAGUGGGGAAUAUUGGACAAUGGGCGCAAGCCUGAUCCAGCCAUGCCGCGUGGAUGAUGAAGGCCCUAGGGUUGUAAAGUCCUUUCGACGGGGAAGAUAAUGACGGUACCCGUAGAAGAAGCCCCGGCUAACGUUCGUGCCAGCAGCCGC
Molecule: ribosomal RNA, 445 nt
Filed under: uncultured bacterium
Lineage: Bacteria
Description: SSU rRNA
Rfam family: Bacterial small subunit ribosomal RNA
Source: RNAcentral